Molecule: unclassified non-coding RNA, 209 nt
Filed under: uncultured fungus
Lineage: Eukaryota; Fungi
Description: partial contains 18S rRNA, ITS1, 5.8S rRNA, ITS2 and 28S rRNA
Source: RNAcentral
AAGGAUCAUUCAUAAUAAUAGAGUUAUUUAUGGCGCUCUAAAAAAAAAAACCAUUCCACCUUGUGUGAAAUGUUAAAUUCCUUGUCCAUCAUUGUUCAAGGUUUUUUUUAUAUCAACUCAUUUUUUAUAAAAAAAAAACUGUCUGAAAAAAUCGUUAUGAAUUUACUUAAUUCAAAACACAACUUUCAACAACGGAUCUCUUGGCUCUC